UGGGCGUUAAGUUGCAGGGUAUAGACCCGAAACCCGGUGAUCUAGCCAUGGGCAGGUUGAAGGUUGGGUAACACUAACUGGAGGACCGAACCGACUAAUGUUGAAAAAUUAGCGGAUGACCUGUGGCUGGGGGUGAAAGGCCAAUCAAACCGGGAGAUAGCUGGUUCUCCCCGAAAGCUAUUUAGGUAGCGCCUCGUGAAUUCAUCUCCGGGGGUAGAGCACUGUUUCGGCUAGGGGGCCAUCCCGGCUUACCAACCCGAUGCAAACUGCGAAUACCGGAGAAUGUUAUCACGGGAGACACACGGCGGGUGCUAACGUCCGUCGUGAAGAGGGAAACAACCCAGACCGCCAGCUAAGGUCCCAAAGUCAUGGUUAAGUGGGAAACGAUGUGGGAAGGCCCAGACAGCCAGGAUGUUGGCUUAGAAGCAGCCAUCAUUUAAAGAAAGCGUAAUAGCUCACUGGUCGAGUCGGCCUGCGCGGAAGAUGUAACGGGGCUAAACCAUGCACCGAAGCUGCGGCAGCGACACUGUGUGUUGUUGGGUAGGGGAGCGUUC
Molecule: ribosomal RNA, 554 nt
Filed under: Salmonella enterica subsp. enterica serovar Enteritidis
Lineage: Bacteria; Pseudomonadati; Pseudomonadota; Gammaproteobacteria; Enterobacterales; Enterobacteriaceae
Description: partial 23S ribosomal RNA
Rfam family: Bacterial large subunit ribosomal RNA
Source: RNAcentral